AUAAUUUCAAAAACCAAUUCUAAUAUCUCUCUCUACUCUCUCUCUCUUCGAUGAAGAAUACAAAGCAUCCGAUAUACCCGUUCUUUGUUUUGUUGUUAGCUGAGUUUGUUUUAGUUUCAAAUGAUUGAACAAAUCUUCAACACGAGCAGACGCUUAGAAACCCUAACUUCUGGAAGAUCAAAAGGCAGAGGUUCAGAAGUUGUUCAUCGAAGCUCAAGGGAUCGAAGAUUCAAGUUGAUGGGUAGAUGCUUAAAAGAAUCUAGGGUGUCGAAGUCAGAACCACAAGAUUCGAGCCUUUCAAAAGCUAUAUUGCUCAUAAUUACUGCCAUCACACUGUUUCUCUCUCUACAAAAACCAUUCAGAUGUUUAUAGAACUUCGCUGAUUAGAAUAAACAUGUUCCGGUACUUCGUUGUUUGGAUUAAAUAUGUUCCGGAACUUCGUUGUUUGGAUUGGAUAUGUUCCGGCGGUGCAAAAGCAAGUCUUGUGACACUGUGGACACUUGAUGAAUACACAAGGAAACAAAAAAAACUCCUAUAAGAACCAUUGAUCAUGAUCAGUUGGUAGAUGACAACCAGGCUAUAACUUUUUUUGAAAAUGUGUUGAUUAACGUAUCAACAGUUGCAAACCAUGAUGCAUUUGAUCUUAUGGAACCUACAAAUUCUCUAAAGGACAAGUUAUCGGCUGACUUUGUAAAAGUCAGCCCUUACAGACCUUUCGGUACUUAUGUUUUUUGCACUCAAGGCGAUGAUCUGGGCUUAUCUUCAUCGAGACAGCAGCUGGUUGUAGAAAACCCAAAUGGUUUAGGUUUAGAAAGUCAAACAGAGGAUUAUGCAACUACUUUAUAAUUGUUCAGGUACAAGGGCACUCAUUCCAAAAGAAGGUUUUGCUACUAUUCGGGUUCGGCAGGCGGCAAUUCCGGAGAGGAUAAGUCAAACGGAAACCAGGGUGGGCCCACUCAAAGAGCCUCAGCGUUGGCGGCCUUGAACUCUGCUAUCAAAUCAUCACCGACCACUUCAGCUGCUCCGAAAGUACCGAGUCGAGGUUCACAGAGAGCAGCUACAAUGGCCGCUUUAUCUUCGGUUCUCACUGCUGAGAAAAAAGGAUCAUCCGAUGCUUCUCCAGCUCGGCCCGUUAGAAGUACUGAUGCUUCUCCAGCUCGGUCCAUUAGAAAGCCACCGUCUGAAACUGUCUCACCUGGAAUUAUAGAGGUUAUGAUCGCUUGCAACUUUAUACAGACGGUUUCCCUUCUUUGGAGAAGGUAGGUAUUAGUGUACUCAGACCCAAAGAUGCUCAUCAAGUUCUAUAUUUGCUUCAACAGCUUCAUAAUGUCAAGUGUCUUACACUAAACUUGGAAAUUGUUGAGGUAAUUGGUAGUGUUUAACUUAUAUCUGGAUAGAACCAGUAGCAUAAUUGUGAUAUAACCAGCAGCAUCAUUGUGAUAUACAAUCAGUAUAUGUUGACGCUUUGGUGGACUCGUAAGUCGCUCUUUUCUAUUGCUUUUGAGUUGGCUGGUUUUGUUAAAAACAUGUCUACUCUUAAAUGCAUAAAGCCUUUUAAAACAGAUUGAGGAAUUUCUAUCAUUUCAUAACCUUUUAAAUGCAUAAAGCCUACUAAAUCAGUUGUUAAUAGAAAUGGAUUAUUAAUGUCUAGGCGCGCUUUUUAGAGCAGAAAUUGGUACUGGCUGCACAUGUGUGCCUUAUAUCUGGAUAGAACCAGCAGCAUCAUUGUGAUAUAACCAGAAGCAUCAUUGUGAUAUACAAUCAGUAUGUGUUGCUUAUACGAUCUCAGCUAGAGGUGGUAGCUCUUGACGCUUUGGUGGACUCACCAUCCAUGUACUUUACUGAGUGGUACUGGUGAAAUAUUAAGUCAUGGAAACAUGCACACAGGGUGUUCGACGAUAUGCUCUCAAGAACCUGGGAGUGUUAAGAGAAGCUAUUGUGAUGGGAUUAAUUGUUGUCAGCGCGUUUCACGUAUACAAAGUAUCGAAGUUUUUAAUACAAAGCAUAAAUGAUACAAGUUUGGUGCUAGAAAAACCUGUAGUUGCCUACUUUAUAUUUACUAUUUUCAACAUAUAUAAUGGUAGUUUAACCUGAUGUGUUCUUUCGUGUUUUGAGUUUGUAAAAUCUGUAUUAAUUUAACGUUUCUUGGCCGAUAAUCAUUAGGUGUUGGCAUAAGUAUUCUGGUCAGUUAUACACUAUGUUACUAAUGUUGUAUUUGCAGGGCUUACUUGAAUCGGCUGCAAAAGGUGGAUUUGAUGUUUUUGACUUCACAACAAAAACUAGCAUUCUGGAUCAACAUGAACACAAUGCUUGUAUCAUGCAUGCCUCCAUGUUUUUCAAAAAUCGAGCAAGAUAUUCAAGAACUCGUUGUCACACGCUAAUAGUUUCCAAGAAGAAUCUCAACUCGAGUCGUUUACAUCUAACAAAAAGGAUGAUUCUGUUUGUAGUGAAGCCACUGUUGUGAGUUUUUUUGAUGAAGAAAGUAUACAGGAUCAGACUGAGAAAUGACAGCGUAUUGGCCGGGAUGUUGUUCAUUCGACAGGCAAGGUAUUAAGGUGUUGUUCCUAUGUCAAGACGACAAAAGUCAGAGACGUUUAGAGCACAGUACAUUGAUGCAAAAGAACUCGAGUAUGAUGGCAUUCCCUCUCACACAUUAUUUGGCUACCAUUAGCAUUCAACAAAUUGAUCAUUGAUUGAUCUGAUACUUUGUAUUUUAUUCUUUAAUUAUUUUGUUUUUUUCUAGAGUGUCUGUUAGUACAUGGAAUGUUGCUGGGAAACUGCCUCCAGCUUUGGAUGUUUGUUUUUCCUUUUGUAAUAUUUGUUUUUGAAACAGAGGUUAGGAUUUCAAACAGUGGUAUGAGAAACAUAUGUUUGAAACCUCUGUUUGGUUACAAACAGAGUCUUGAGAAA
Molecule: RNA transcript, 2910 nt
Organism: Helianthus annuus (common sunflower)
Lineage: Eukaryota; Viridiplantae; Streptophyta; Magnoliopsida; Asterales; Asteraceae
Exons: 13
Source: RefSeq, a predicted model, not a curated record